CAGCAGCCGCGGGAAUACGUAGGUGGCAAGCGUUGUCCGGAAUUAUUGGGCGUAAAGGGCUCGCAGGCGGUUUCUUAAGUCUGAUGUGAAAGCCCCCGGCUCAACCGGGGAGGGUCAUUGGAAACUGGGAAACUUGAGUGCAGAAGAGGAGAGUGGAAUUCCACGUGUAGCGGUGAAAUGCGUAGAGAUGUGGAGGAACACCAGUGGCGAAGGCGACUCUCUGGUCUGUAACUAACGCUGAGGAGCGAAAGCGUGGGGAGCGAACAGGAUUAGAUACCCGUGUAGUCCCUGUCUCUUAUAC
Molecule: ribosomal RNA, 301 nt
Filed under: uncultured bacterium
Lineage: Bacteria
Description: partial 16S ribosomal RNA
Rfam family: Bacterial small subunit ribosomal RNA
Source: RNAcentral